Long non-coding RNA from Lepisosteus oculatus (spotted gar), 795 nucleotides. RefSeq lists it as uncharacterized. NCBI's taxonomy places the organism in Eukaryota, Metazoa, Chordata, Actinopteri, Semionotiformes, Lepisosteidae. The record is from RefSeq and is a predicted model, not a curated record.
UCGUUUAUUUUAAGAGCUUUACACAGGCUUCAUUUCUGGCUGUUUAAAAACUUGUGGAAAAUAAAAUAAAACAGCCAGCGCCAUUAGUCAACUCAAACCUUUUAAAAAAAGUCCUCUGAAGCUGAAGAAGACGUAUCUUUUGAAGAGAGGGCCCAACUGUUGUCUGCCUGGGAGGACGGGAGAAGUUGGCGGACAGAGCCCAGGGGAAGGCGCCUCGGGGGAGCUGUGGUGAUUAGAGGGGCUGGCCUUGGCGAGUCCGGGCCGAGCCCAGCCAAGGUGACGCAGGACGCCUGCCAAGACGGGGCCGAACCCGAGCCAAGCCUGGGCCAGGCCUCUGAAAGAAGCGAUUUGGGAGACAGUCGGCUGGCACUUUCAGAUGGCCUGGAUAUCUGGCAUGUACUGCGGCCUUGGUAGACCUGAACUUUUGGGAAACUUUUGCUGGAGAGCAGGAAACCCGCCUGGAUACAGACAGCAACCAAUCAGAAGCGAGAACGAACUGAAUAAACAAAGUUUGGAGGCAGCCCUGCAGCAGCUGCCAGGGUCAAAGUUCAGCUAGUUUGUUUCAAAGUUCUCCAACCGCUUUAAUCAGGGAUAAUUGGAGGGUGAACUCAGUAUGAGGCAGAAAGGCACUCACAGAAACAACAUGUCUUUAUAUUGGUGAAGGAUUCAUCAGAACUAAAUUUUAUUGGACAAAAAAAGGUGCUCUAAAAGCUUUUUUUGGGUGCAUGUCCCGUGGUAAACCAAAAUACUGUCCAGACGAAAUCUAACAUUUAAUAAAAUCAGCCUCAGGUACUA